AACCAUAGAAACCUGCGGAGUACCUGCGGAAGGAUCAUUACACAAUAAACAUAUGAAGGCUGCACCGCCAACAGGCGGCAAGGCUGGAGUAUUUUAUUACCCUUGUCUUUUGCGCACUUGUUGUUUCCUGGGCGGGUUCGCCCGCCUCCAGGACCACAUGAUAAACCUUUUUUAUGCAGUUGCAAUCAGCGUCAGUACAACAAAUGUAAAUCAUUUACAACUUUUAGCAAUGGAUCUCAG
This 240-nucleotide unclassified non-coding RNA is filed under the name soil metagenome. RNAcentral describes it as "partial contains 5.8S ribosomal RNA, internal transcribed spacer 2, and large subunit ribosomal RNA". The record is from RNAcentral.